Molecule: non-coding RNA, 113 nt
Organism: Danio rerio (zebrafish)
Lineage: Eukaryota; Metazoa; Chordata; Actinopteri; Cypriniformes; Danionidae
Source: Rfam
UGCCACAGCUAUAUUACCCUGCAGCCCAAGACCGCUUACUGAAGCUAAGCAGGGCUGAGCCUGGUCAGUACCUGGAUGGGAGACCAUAUGGGAAAACUAGGUUGCUGUCGGAA